CCUACGGGUGGCAGCAGUGAGGAAUAUUGGUCAAUGGGCUUACGCCUGAACCAGCCAAGUCGCGUGAGGGAAGACUGCCCUAUGGGUUGUAAACCUCUUUUGUCAGGGAGCAACGCCGGCUACGUGUAGCCGGACUGAGAGUACCUGAAGAAAAAGCAUCGGCUAACGCCGUGCCAGCAGCAGCGGUAAUACGGGGGAUGCGAGGGUUAUCCGGCUUUAUUGGGUUUAAAGGGUGCGUAGGCGGAAUGCCAAGUCAGCGGUAAAAUCGCGGGGCUCAACCUCGCUCCGCCGUUGAAACUGGCGGUCUUGAGUGGGCGAGAAGUAUGCGGAAUGCGUGGUGUAGCGGUGAAAUGCAUAGAUAUCACGCAGAACUCCGAUUGCGAAGGCAGCAUACCGGCGCCCAACUGACGCUGAAGCACGAAAGCGUGGGUAUCGAACAGGAUUAGAUACCCCUGUAGUC
Molecule: ribosomal RNA, 460 nt
Filed under: uncultured bacterium
Lineage: Bacteria
Description: partial 16S ribosomal RNA
Rfam family: Bacterial small subunit ribosomal RNA
Source: RNAcentral